UUAGAGUUUGAUCCUGGCUCAGGAUGAACGCUAGCGGCAGGCCUAACACAUGCAAGUCGAGGGGCAGCACAAUGGUAGCAAUACUAUGGUGGCGACCGGCGCGCGGGUGAGUAACACGUAUGCAACCUACCUGUAAGCGGGGAAUAACCCGGAGAAAUUCGGACUAAUACCGCAUAACACUGAAUUACUGCAUGGUAAUUCAUUUAAACAUUUAUGGCUUACAGAUGGGCAUGCGUAUGAUUAGCUAGUAGGUGAGGUAACGGCUCACCUAGGCAACGAUCAUUAGGGGUUCUGAGAGGAAGGUCCCCCACACUGGUACUGAGACACGGACCAGACUCCUACGGGAGGCAGCAGUGAGGAAUAUUGGUCAAUGGGCGAGAGCCUGAACCAGCCAUGCCGCGUGCAGGAAGACGGCCCUAUGGGUUGUAAACUGCUUUUAAUUAGGAAUAACCCCCCGGAUGUAUUCGGGGCUGAAAGUACUAAAAGAAUAAGCAUCGGCUAACUCCGUGCCAGCAGCCGCGGUAAUACGGAGGAUGCAAGCGUUAUCCGGAUUUAUUGGGUUUAAAGGGUGCGUAGGCGGACCCUUAAGUCAGUGGUGAAAGUUUGCGGCUCAACCGUAAAAUUGCCAUUGAAACUGAGGGUCUUGAGUGUAAAUGAGGUAGGCGGAAUGUGUUGUGUAGCGGUGAAAUGCUUAGAUAUAACACAGAACACCAAUUGCGAAGGCAGCUUACUGGGAUACAACUGACGCUGAGGCACGAAAGCGUGGGGAUCAAACAGGAUUAGACACCCUGGUAGUCCACGCCGUAAACGAUGAUCACUUGCUGUUGGCGAUAGAUAGUCAGUGGCAAAGGGAAACCGAUAAGUGAUCCACCUGGGGAGUACGUUCGCAAGAAUGAAACUCAAAGGAAUUGACGGGGGCCCGCACAAGCGGAGGAACAUGUGGUUUAAUUCGAUGAUACGCGAGGAACCUUACCUGGGUUUGAACGCAUAUUGCAUGACACUGAAAGGUGUCUUUCCUUCGGGACUAUAUGCGAGGUGCUGCAUGGUUGUCGUCAGCUCGUGCCGUGAGGUGUCGGCUUAAGUGCCAUAACGAGCGCAACCCCCAUUGCCAGUUACCAACACGUUAAGGUGGGGACUCUGGCGAAACUGCCGGCGUAAGCUGUGAGGAAGGUGGGGAUGACGUCAAAUCAGCACGGCCCUUAUAUCCAGGGCUACACACGUGUUACAAUGGUCGGUACAGAGGGCAGCCACUUGGUGACAAGGAGCUAAUCCCAAAAGCCGGUCUCAGUUCGGAUCGAAGUCUGCAACUCGACUUCGUGAAGGUGGAUUCGCUAGUAAUCGCGCAUCAGCCAUGGCGCGGUGAAUACGUUCCCGGGCCUUGUACACACCGCCCGUCAAGCCAUGGGAGUUUGGGGCGCCUGAAGUCUGUAACCGCAAGGAGCGGCCUAGGGCGAAACAGAUGACUGGGGCUAAGUCGUAACAAGGUAACC
This 1490-nucleotide ribosomal RNA is filed under the name uncultured bacterium. Its description in RNAcentral is "bacterial SSU rRNA". It matches the Rfam family "Bacterial small subunit ribosomal RNA". The record is from RNAcentral.